GGUCCCGUGGUGUAAUGGUCAGCACUCAGGACUCUGAAUUCUAAAAUCUGAGUUCAAAUCUCAGUGGGACCU
This 72-nucleotide transfer RNA is filed under the name Chelonia mydas (Green sea turtle). It matches the Rfam family "tRNA". From Rfam's summary of the family: Transfer RNA (tRNA) molecules are approximately 80 nucleotides in length. Lineage: Eukaryota; Metazoa; Chordata; Testudines; Cheloniidae. The record is from Rfam by way of RNAcentral.